RNAcentral lists this ribosomal RNA (506 nucleotides) under uncultured bacterium. Its description in RNAcentral is "partial 16S ribosomal RNA". It matches the Rfam family "Bacterial small subunit ribosomal RNA", at positions 29 to 523 of the family's 1533-position model. The record is from RNAcentral.
AGUGAACGCUGGCGGUAGGCCUAACACAUGCAAGUCGAACGGCAGCACAGAGGAGCUUGCUCCUUGGGUGGCGAGUGGCGGACGGGUGAGGAAUACAUCGGAAUCUACUCUGUCGUGGGGGAUAACGUAGGGAAACUUACGCUAAUACCGCAUACGACCUACGGGUGAAAGCAGGGGAUCUUCGGACCUUGCGCGAUUGAAUGAGCCGAUGUCGGAUUAGCUAGUUGGCGGGGUAAAGGCCCACCAAGGCGACGAUCCGUAGCUGGUCUGAGAGGAGGGUCAGCCACACUGGAAAUGAGACACGGUCCAGACGCCUACGGGAGGCAGCAGUGGGGAAUAUUGGACAAUGGGCGCAAGCCUGAUCCAGCCAUACCGCGUGGGUGAAGAAGGCCUUCGGGUUGUAAAGCCCUUUUGUUGGGAAAGAAAUCCAUCUGGUUAAUACCCGGGUGGGAUGACGGUACCCAAAGAAUAAGCACCGGCUAACUUCGUGCCAGCCGCCGCCGUAA